CCAGGAGUAGCUGAUAAGCUCUUACUGCUUGGACUACAAGCUCAUUUGUAGUGCUCUUUUUAAAGCCAUAAAAUACAAAAGUGAUAGUUAGUAGCAAAACAUUGGAAGUCUGAAAAGAUGAAAAAUGGCGAAUACUAAAACUUCAGUGAGAAAAUAAAAAAUAAAUGGGCUAAACUUU
This 178-nucleotide non-coding RNA is filed under the name unclassified sequences. Its description in RNAcentral is "RT-16 RNA". It matches the Rfam family "RT-16 RNA". Rfam says of the family: candidate division DUSEL4 (Archaea). Nearby to self-splicing intron genes The record is from Rfam by way of RNAcentral.